RNAcentral lists this long non-coding RNA (2913 nucleotides) under Marmota monax (woodchuck). The record is from RNAcentral. Lineage: Eukaryota; Metazoa; Chordata; Mammalia; Rodentia; Sciuridae.
CCGAGGUCGGCCCGGGGACCCACGGGGAAGGAAGGGGGAAGGGAGCGAGACCGGAGAGGCUGUGGCGCGUGGCCUGAGGCAGAGAGCAAGGCUGCGGGGGUCUGGGCCAGACCAGGCGCCGGCCUGACCCGCCUCGCCGGCAAAUGCAGGCCGGGCUUCCUCCUCCCCGGGCGGGCGGGGGAGGGGAGGGGGCUCAAAGCCGGGGGGAAGGAGGGAAAGGUGGUCCUGAUUCUCUUGUUGCCAGAGCCCACAAAGCUGAUCCCCGCCGCCUAUGGAGACGCAUCAGAGCCCUCCUGUAGACCUGCCGAACCCCUCUCUCCAGGCACCCGGGCUCCGGCCAGGUCUAGAGAGUGUCGCGUCCUCCCGGAGAGCGGCCGGCGGAGCUCCGUUGGAGGAAAGAGGAGACGACCUAGGAGAACACUGCCGCUGCGGUUGCUGUAGGGUCCCUGGCUCCCGUAGUGCACGAGGCCUUCCUCACUAGGGUAAGGGGCUGGCGAACGGCCUGGAUGCCUGUAACCCAGCAUCCUGGAGCCAAGCAGGCGACAGAGCAUCCACCACCCUCAGAAGAGCCUGGUCCUGGUGCGGUGCGUGAGUCGGCGGGAGCCAGGUUGUCCUAUGUGAAACCCCAGGCCUCAAGGCGGCUGCUUUAGGCGUCAAGUUGAGCGGGGUAUGUGUGCCCUCUUGGGGAAAGGGUAAGAAAUGGAGUCUGACUAUCUCUUCUGGGUUGGGGUAAACUGGGACACCCCCCACCAACACAUGUCCAUAUGCAAGUUCCUCCCACCCGCCCUCUUAGGGGCGCAGAGACCCUGUCUGUGUGGAAGUGGAGAAACCCGAUCUCCUACAGAAGCCGAAGGCCCAGGCGCAAGCAAGUGGAGCGGGUUCCGAGACCUCAGCUCUGGGGUUGCGGACCCCAAAAACGGAAAUCCACGCAACCACCCGAGCCUGGCUAUUGGCGAGUCCGGGCGAGCUCCGCGGGGCCGAGAUGCGGGAAGAAACAGCCCAGGGGCGGGAGCGCUGCCCGCCGAGGGUAAUCAGCAGAGCCAAGCCUCGGGGUCGAAGUCCUAAAGUUACUAAUCCCGCGCUGAGGUAGUGAGCGUGCCUCAGACCGCCCGGGGCGGUCAUUUGAGCGUGUUUACUUAAGGACUUUGCAAGCCUAGCGCGCGCGAAAUAGUCGGAUUUCCAGCGAGGCAGCAAAUAUUUGCAGGCGGGAGAAAGAAGCGGAGCCGGGCCGCGCCGCCGCGUCCCUCCCUCUGGAGCCGCGGCGCCGGCUUGGGCGGACCCGACCGCGCUGUUAAAGACAGAAAAGAAGCCGGGAACCUGCUAGGCUGCGGGGUGGGGGGUGGGGGCGUGGGGGGCGGGGACGGCGCAGAGCGGUACCAAACACCAGAAACUGGAGCGCAGUCCCGGCCCUGGCGAGCCGGAGAGCUGGGGGAGAAGUCCCUGCCCAUUCCAGCUCGAUCAAUCUUCCUGGCUACGAUCAGUCAAUAAAAAUGGUGUGAAGCGGCCGUGGUCGCUGAGAGUCUGGAGAGGAAGUGGAGGCCAGAGGUGUUGAGGCCGGCGCCGGCGCCCCUCACCAGCCGGGUUCGCGGCCCCGCAGUCUGCAAACCUCAGGCCCGGGCCCUGUGCUUUGCCAGGAACUGCGGGCGGCCUGGCGGGGCCUUUAAUUGGGUGUCUCAGUUUUAACAGUGUCCAUUGUUGGAACAAUUAGCAAGAAGCAAUAAGCACCAAGAGACAUUUGAUUCCCAGUGCGGGCUGCCGCCAAAACCAGGGUGCUCGGGAAGAUUGGCCAGGCUGCCUAGGAUGGAAGGUCUGGUUGGGGAGGUGCAGGUUCCUUUUCCCUGCCUGUUUUAUCUCAGCCUUGGAAGCUGUAAAGAGGAGACUGGGGCAAGAGUAACCUGAGCCAGGCCACGAGGGAAGCCGGUCCCCAGCCUCGCUAGCUCUUGCCAGGAGCCCUUGAGACCGCAGUGCCUUCUGGCAGCGCGCGUCCCCGCUGCAGCCGCCGCGCGCGGAUCCCCAAUGCCUGUUAGAGAAGAGCCAGGAAGACUGAGACGUGGAAGCCGAUUUCCUUUUCCCUUUGCCUUGGGUUCCCUCCUCGGUCACCCGAACCAUAGACGAAUUUCCUUCCCUAUGGGAGGAGGAGGAGCAAAGGAGAGACCCCUGCUCCUGGCGAGGUACACACCUCCCUCCUCACCGGAGCGGGUCUCAACUGCCCCCUCCUCCGACUCGGCCCCCGGAUUAGGUUACCUUGGCCGGGCGAGGAUUUUUACUGGAUACGAGAAUAGCACAGGUAAAGCUGUAUAAACAGCUCUCCGGCUGCCGGGCUGGAGGGUUACGCCGGGGACACUGCCCAAGGCGCCACUGCGGGGCCAGGCUGUGCUGGCGAAACCACUGGAGAGCCCGCUCCGGCGCGGUGCCCGACGAUCGCACAGGUUAAAUAUAUAUUAUUUGUCAUUGCAGUUCCCACCCAGACUCCCUUUCUCUUUCCCGCAUAAGCUGAAAUGCAGAGUGGGAAACAAAAUCAAAACGUGACGAGAAAGCAACGGACAGUGGACAAAACUAGUUGAGGAUUCCGGCUCAGCAAUGUUGAUCCUUUUCGAAUAAACUCCAGGACUUAGAAUGUAGAAAAGGACCCAAAACACUCGGCAACGGGAAAACGUUGGCGAUAGAAGCGUCCAAGAGGGAAACCCAUAGGAAUAGGGCAAAAGAUUUCUGCACGCGCAGCUCUUUCUGGCUCCCACGCCCACCGGCCCAGGGCCUGGUGUCUACAUUCCCUGUGAAAUGAGCCAUCAAUUUCGGGGGGUGUGUGGUUCGAUUUACUGUUUUUUGGUUUUGUUUUUUAAUUCAUCUGUCACCAUUUAAAGCUAGGAAGGAAACCCGCCCAGGCCAGGAGGAGUAGCGAGCGAGCUGUGGAGA